GCCUAUAUAGCUGACCUGAUCCGAAAUACUCAUAUAAAAUGAGUAGGGUUUCUAAAAUUAGCUGAAAACUUGAGCUCCCACUUUCUCCGACUCCUAGACCAUGGACAUCAUCAUCAAUCGUCAGUUUCUUCUUCUCCAACUAUGGGUGAAAUCUUCAGUAUUUGUCCAGUGUUUUUUGGUGCUACUCGAUGGGUCUCAUGUUCUGACCCUUACUUCCUUUUUCAACUGGAAUAGGGGUGGAGAUAAUGGAAAUCUCAAACCCACUGAAUGUUGAAGAGAAACAAGUAACUCAGUUGUAUGAAUUUUAUCUGCCUUGGUGACCCCUGAUCCACUGAACUUCCUUUUUUGAUGGCUAGUGUAAAUAGGCAUCUUAGCAGUUUCACUUUUUUGUUCAAACUCCUUAAAGGUUGUAAAUAUGCUAAAUGCGAAAGACUAUGUUGUAGCCUUCCUAAUCCCCUUUAUCCUUUUGCUAGUGUUAGCCAGAGAUAUGGGCAUUGUUGCUUGUCGCUGUUAAAGACCUUCCUACCUGAUGUUGGCAAUUGACUAAAAUAUGUAAAUAGGAACUUCUUCUUGUCAAAUGCUAAAUUAGCUAAGUAAUUUGCAAGCUGAUUUCCUUCCCUGAA
Long non-coding RNA from Capsicum annuum, 623 nucleotides. RefSeq lists it as uncharacterized. The transcript has 3 exons. The record is from RefSeq and is a predicted model, not a curated record. NCBI's taxonomy places the organism in Eukaryota, Viridiplantae, Streptophyta, Magnoliopsida, Solanales, Solanaceae.